RNAcentral lists this ribosomal RNA (475 nucleotides) under uncultured bacterium. Its description in RNAcentral is "bacterial SSU rRNA". It matches the Rfam family "Bacterial small subunit ribosomal RNA", at positions 917 to 1382 of the family's 1533-position model. The record is from RNAcentral.
GGGCUCACACAAGCGGUGGAGCAUGUUGCUUAAUUCGAAGCAACGCGAAGAACCUUACCUGGGCUUGACAUGCACGGAUUAACCCCUGGAAACAGGGGCCACACCCGCAAGGGUGGAACGUGCACAAGUGCUGCAUGGCUGUCGUCAGCUCGUGCUGUGAAGUGUCGGGUUAAGUCCCUUAACGAGCGCAACCCUUGUCGCUAGUUGCCAUCGCGUCAUGGCGGGUACUCUAGCGAGACUGCCGGUGUCAAACCGGAGGAAGGUGGGGAUGACGUCAAGUCCUCAUGGCCCAUUUAUGCCCAGGGUUGCAAACGUGCUACAAUGGCGCGCACAAAGCGACGCGAGGCCGCGAGGCGGAGCAAAUCGCACAAAACGCGCCCCAGUUCGGAUUGCAGGCUGCAACCCGCCUGCAUGAAGCCGGAAUCGCUAGUAAUCGCGGAUCAGCUACGCCGCGGUGAAUACGUUCCUGAGCCUU